Molecule: ribosomal RNA, 482 nt
Filed under: uncultured bacterium
Lineage: Bacteria
Description: partial 16S ribosomal RNA
Rfam family: Bacterial small subunit ribosomal RNA
Source: RNAcentral
AUUGAACGCUGGCGGCAUGCUUUACACAUGCAAGUCGAACGGUAACAGGCCGCAAGGUGCUGACGAGUGGCGAACGGGUGAGUAAUGCAUCGGAACGUGCCCCGGCGUGGGGGAUAACUACUCGAAAGAGUAGCUAAAACCGCAUACGAUCUAUGGAUGAAAGCGGGGGACCGUAAGGCCUCGCGCGAUUGGAGCGGCCGAUGUCAGAUUAGGUAGUUGGUGGGGUAAAGGCUCACCAAGCCAACGAUCUGUAGCUGGUCUGAGAGGACAACCAGCCACACUGGGACUGAGACACGGCCCAGACUCCUACGGGAGGCAGCAGUGGGGAAUUUUGGACAAUGGGCGCAAGCCUGAUCCAGCAAUGCCGCGUGCAGGAAGAAGGCCUUCGGGUUGUAAACUGCUUUUGUACGGAACGAAACGGCUCUGGUUAAUACCCGGGGCUAAUGACGGUACCGUAAGAAUAAGCACCGGCUAACUACGUG